This 376-nucleotide ribosomal RNA is filed under the name uncultured bacterium. RNAcentral describes it as "bacterial SSU rRNA". It matches the Rfam family "Bacterial small subunit ribosomal RNA", at positions 523 to 897 of the family's 1533-position model. The record is from RNAcentral.
AUACGAAGGGUGCAAGCGUUACUCGGAAUUACUGGGCGUAAAGCGUGCGUAGGUGGUUGUUUAAGUCUGUCGUGAAAGCCCUGGGCUCAACCUGGGAAUGGCGAUGGAAACUGGGCGACUAGAGUGUGGCAGAGGGUAGUGGAAUUCCUGGUGUAGCAGUGAAAUGCGUAGAGAUCAGGAGGAACAUCCGUGGCGAAGGCGACUGCCUGGGCCAACACUGACACUGAGGCACGAAAGCGUGGGGAGCAAACAGGAUUAGAUACCCUGGUAGUCCACGCCCUAAACGAUGCGAACUGGAUGUUGGGUGCAAUUUGGCACGCAGUAUCGAAGCUAACGCGUUAAGUUCGCCGCCUGGGGAGUACGGUCGCAAGACUGA